GCUACGGGUGGCAGCAGUGAGGAAUAUUGGUCAAUGGGCGCAAGCCUGAACCAGCCAAGUCGCGUGAGGGAAGACGGCCCUACGGGUUGUAAACCUCUUUUGCCGGGCAGCAAGCCUGAGCACGUGUGCCCAGGCGGAGAGUACCCGGAGAAAAAGCAUCGGCUAAGUCCGUGCCAGCAGCCGCGGUAAUACGGAGGAUGCGAGCGUUAUCCGGAUUUAUUGGGGUUAAAGGGCGCGCAGGAGGAAGGUCAAGUACGCGGUAAAAUUGAGAGGCUCAACCUCUUAGAGCCGUUGAAACUGGUUUUCUUGAGGGAGCGAGAGGUAGGCGGAAUGCGUGGUGUAGCGGUGAAAUGCAUAGAGAUCACGCAGAACUCCGAUUGCGAAGGCAGCAUACCGGCGCUCAACUGACGCUCAUGCACGAAAGUGUGGGUAUCGAACAGGAUUAGAUACCCUGGUAGUC
This 460-nucleotide ribosomal RNA is filed under the name uncultured bacterium. RNAcentral's name for it is "partial 16S ribosomal RNA". It matches the Rfam family "Bacterial small subunit ribosomal RNA", at positions 338 to 795 of the family's 1533-position model. The record is from RNAcentral.